UGCAGUGUCAGUGCAAACCAAAAUAAGGCAAAACCGCGAACGGCUCAUUAAAUCGGUCAUGGUUCACGAGCUGAUCCUCUCCAUUCGGACAACUGUGGCAAUUCCAGAGCUAAUACGUGCACUAGAACUCCCUUCGCGCCGAACUUCUCUAGGGCGGAGGGAUUGCAAUUAUCUGAUCCGAAACCCCGGCAUACAGUGCCUCGUGCAUUGAGCCGCGGCCCUCGGUGAACUCUGGAUAAUCGCCCACGCUGAGCGCUUGGACCCACCGCCCUUCGGGGUCGGUACCGGCGCCGCGACUCUCAAAUGUCUGACCCAUCAGAUUUAGUUGGUGCGGUAGCGGCGUACCAAGUCUGCGACGGGUAACGGGGAAUCGGAGUUUGAUUCCGGAGAGGAUGCUCGAGAAACGGCAACCACAUCCAAGGAAGGCAGCAGGCGCGCAACUUACCCAAUGCCGGCACGGCGAGGUAGUGACGAAAAAUAGCGGUGCGGGUCUCUUCGGAGGCCGCGCGAUCGCAAUGAAUCCGCUUUGAACACGCGGACGAUGAGCUAUUGGAGGGCAAGUCUGGUGCCAGCAGCCGCGGUAAUUCCAGCUCCGAGAGCAUAUAGCAAACCUGUUGCAGUUAAAAAGCUCGCAGUUGGGUCUCGGGCUCGGGUGGAUCUGCGGGAGGGUUUCUUCGUUGCGGCGGGUGCUUCGUCCGGGCGACUGGAUGAUUGUGCCUGUCCCGCGAUCCUGUCCUUCGGGGCGUGGAAAGCGCGAGGUUCCCAUCUCUAUCCUGCGUCUGCCCGGCCUCAACCGAUUGACACGCAGAGCCAUAAGCGCCGCCUCCCGGCGCCCCUUCGGGGGCUGUCGCGCAGAGGUCCGGCCGGCCGGCUUUUACUUUGAAAAAAUUAGGGUGUUCACAGCAGGUCUGAUACGCCUGCAUAAUUGCGCAUGGAAUAAUGGAAGAGGACUACGGCUCCGCGAGGGAAACUCUGCAGUUGGUUUCCGGAGCCGGCGGGCAAAUGGUUGAUCGGGACGACCGGGGGCAUACGUAUGGCGGGGGGAGGAGUGAAACCCAUUGAUCCUCGCCAGACGACCAGCUGCGAAAGCGUCUGCCAAGGGCGUUUUCGUUAAUCAGUGAGCCAAAGUCGGCGGAGCGAAGACGAUUAGAUACCGUCGUAGUGCCGACCCUAAACGUUGCCAGCCAGCGGUCCGCGGCAGUUACUACCAUGACUCCGCGGGCGUCUUCCGGGAAACCAAAGCCGUCGGGCUCUGGGGGAAGUAUGGUUGCAAAGCUGAAACUUAAAGGAAUUGACGGAAGGGCACCACCAGGCGUGGAGCCUGCGGCUUAAUUUGACUCAACACGGGAAAACUCACCCGGUCCGGACACUGCGACGAUGGACAGAUUGAAAGCUCUUUCUCGAUUCAGUGGGUGGUGGUGCAUGGCCGUUCCUAGUUGGUGGAGCGAUUUGUCUGGUUGAUUCCGAUAACGAGCGAGACUCUAGCCUGCUAAAUAGUUCGCCCGGCCCGUCAGCUUUGGCCGGGGAGCAAUAAGACUUCUUAGAGGGAUCAGUGGCGGCGCAGCCACGACACGAGAUUGAGCGAUAACAGGUCUGUGAUGCCCUUAGAUGUCCGGGGCCGCACGCGCGCUACAAUGGUGGGCUCAGCGGGUACGACCCGCCCCGAGAGGGGUGGGGAACCCCGCAGUGCCCUUCCCGGUUGGAAUUGCGGAUUGGAACCAUUCCCCACGAACGAGGAAUGCCGAGUAAGCGCGCUUCAUCAGAGUGCGCUGAUUCAGUCCCUGCCCUUUGUACACACCGCCCGUCGCUACUACCGAUCGAGCGGCUCAGUGAGGGCGUCGGAUCAUUGCUCGUCGUGUCCGCCUUCCGUUAGUUGGGUUUCGGCUCGGCUUUCGGGUUAUGACGGGUGCUCGAGGAGUGAGAAGGCGUCCGAACUCGGUCGUUUAGAGGAAGUAAAAGUCGUAACAAGGUUUCCGUAGGUGAACCUGCG
RNAcentral lists this ribosomal RNA (1990 nucleotides) under Omalogyra fusca. Its description in RNAcentral is "SSU rRNA". It matches the Rfam family "Eukaryotic small subunit ribosomal RNA". Lineage: Eukaryota; Metazoa; Mollusca; Gastropoda; Omalogyridae. The record is from RNAcentral.